GAAGUGGAGAAGGGUUUCUCGAGAACGGCACUCGCUCGAGAGUUAGUCGAUCCUAAGCUGCCGGCGGCAGCCACGAAACGGUCGAUCGGGCGCGAGCCCGGCAGCCACGACCGGGCAGCGAAAGGGAAUUGGGAACCUCCUUCCCAAACCCGGAACCGGAACGAGGGCGGCGACGCGAACGAAACGGCCGCGGAGACGGCGGCCGCGGCCCCGGAGAGAGUUCUCUUUUCUGUGCGACUGGACGUCGGCCCCGGAAUCGCGUCGAGCGGAGGGGGGGUCGGAGUUCAGGAAUAGCGCCCCGGCCUUUCGGGGUGUCCGGGCGGCCGCGGUCGUCCCAUGAAAAUCCGCGGAUGAACGAGUAGGCGACGGUCCGGGUCGUACCGAACGACCGCAUCGGGUCUCCAAGGUUGAAAGCCUCUGGCUAACGGG
RNAcentral lists this ribosomal RNA (429 nucleotides) under uncultured eukaryote. RNAcentral's name for it is "eukaryotic LSU rRNA". It matches the Rfam family "Eukaryotic large subunit ribosomal RNA", at positions 1493 to 1894 of the family's 3401-position model. The record is from RNAcentral.